Molecule: transfer RNA, 74 nt
Filed under: Candidatus Moraniibacteriota bacterium
Lineage: Bacteria; Candidatus Moraniibacteriota
Description: Candidatus Moranbacteria bacterium (groundwater metagenome) tRNA-Pro
Rfam family: tRNA
About the family: Transfer RNA (tRNA) molecules are approximately 80 nucleotides in length. Their secondary structure includes four short double-helical elements and three loops (D, anti-codon, and T loops).
Source: RNAcentral
CGGGGUGUUGUGUAAUGGUAGCGCGCUUGGUUUGGGACCAAGUAGUCAGAGUUCGAGUCUCUGCACCCCGACAA